RNAcentral lists this ribosomal RNA (267 nucleotides) under uncultured bacterium. Its description in RNAcentral is "partial 16S ribosomal RNA". It matches the Rfam family "Bacterial small subunit ribosomal RNA", at positions 86 to 354 of the family's 1533-position model. The record is from RNAcentral.
UAUGAGUUAGUGGCGGACGGGUGAGUAACGCGUGGGUAACCUGGCCCAUACAGGGGGAUAACACUUAGAAAUAGGUGCUAAUACCGCAUAACAACAGAAAGCGCAUGCUUUUUGUUUGAAAACCAAGGUGGUAUGGGAUGGACCCGCGUCUGAUUAGCUGGUUGGCGGGGUAAAGGCCCACCAAGGCGACGAUCAGUAGCCGGCCUGAGAGGGUGGACGGCCACAUUGGGACUGAGACACGGCCCAAACUCCUACGGAAGGCAGCAG